RNAcentral lists this ribosomal RNA (464 nucleotides) under uncultured bacterium. Its description in RNAcentral is "partial 16S ribosomal RNA". It matches the Rfam family "Bacterial small subunit ribosomal RNA", at positions 339 to 795 of the family's 1533-position model. The record is from RNAcentral.
CUACGGGACGCUGCAGUGGGGAAUAUUGCACAAUGGGCGCAAGCCUGAUGCAGCCAUGCCGCGUGUAUGAAGAAGGCCUUCGGGUUGUAAAGUACUUUCAGCGGGGAGGAAGGGAGUAAAGUUAAUACCUUUGCUCAUUGACGUUACCCGCAGAAGAAGCACCGGCUAACUCCGUGCCAGCAGCCGCGGUAAUACGGAGGGUGCAAGCGUUAAUCGGAAUUACUGGGCGUAAAGCGCACGCAGGCGGUUUGUUAAGUCAGAUGUGAAAUCCCCGGGCUCAACCUGGGAACUGCAUCUGAUACUGGCACGCUUGAGUCUCGUAGAGGGGGGUAGAAUUCCAGGUGUAGCGGUGACAUGCGUAGAGAUCUGGAGGAAUACCGGUGGCGAAGGCGGCCCCCUGGACGAAGACUGACGCUCAGGUGCGAAAGCGUGGGGAGCAAACAGGAUUAGAUACCCUCGUAGUC